Long non-coding RNA from Poecilia latipinna (sailfin molly), 372 nucleotides. RefSeq lists it as uncharacterized. The transcript has 3 exons. The record is from RefSeq and is a predicted model, not a curated record. NCBI's taxonomy places the organism in Eukaryota, Metazoa, Chordata, Actinopteri, Cyprinodontiformes, Poeciliidae.
AGUGCACGAACAGACGUGCACUGUGUUGGUGAAGAAGAAAUCUUCCAUAUUGUGGCGCAAACCUAACAAGUUAUAACGGCCAGACCUCCUGUUUAAAAAGAAGCCGAAGUUUGAUACCUAAUACAUAUGAGUUUAGCCACGUGAAGACCCAGGCUAGCCUAAGGACAGGUGGGGAGGACAAAGUUGGCUAAUGAAGACAUGCUACGAUGUGGAGGAUGAUGAUAAGGACCAGCCACCAGAGAAAGAAGUUCCUAUUUGACCAAAGAGAAAGAAGCAGAUGAAAUAUUCCCCAAGAAAAUUAGUGACCACAAUGAAUUGAGUCAUCACCGACUAUGAGAAUGUCCAGAAGAAAUUUACCAAGUUUGAAUUCAU